Molecule: ribosomal RNA, 915 nt
Filed under: uncultured marine archaeon
Lineage: Archaea
Description: bacterial SSU rRNA
Rfam family: Archaeal small subunit ribosomal RNA
Source: RNAcentral
UUCCGGUUGAUCCUGCCGGAGGCUACCGCUAUUGGAGUUCGAUUAAGCCAUGCGAGUCGCGAGAAUUAGAUUCUCGGCGUACCGCUCAGUAACACGUGGGUAACCUGCCCUAUGCUGGAUAAUAACCUCGGGAAACUGAGAAUAAUGAUCUAUAGUUCACUACGCCUGGAACGGUGAGUGGAUGAAAGCUCCGGCGGCAUAGGAUGGGCCUGCGGCGUAUCAGGUUGUAGGGGGUGUAAUGUACCCUCUAGCCCUCUACGCGUACGGGUGUUGAGAGACAUCGCCCGGAGAUGGAUUCUGAGACACGAAUCCAGACCCUACGGGGUGCAGCAGGCGCGAAAACUUGGCAAUGCGAGAAAUCGUGACCAGGGAACUCCAAGUGCAUGGGGUAAGACCUAUGCUUUUCUAGACUCUAAAAAGGUCUUGGAAUAAGAGGUGGGUAAGGACGGUGCCAGCCGCCGCGGUAAUACCGGCGCCUCAAGUGGUAGUCGCUUUUAUUGGGCCUAAAACGUCCGUAGCCGGUCUGAUACAUUCGUGGGUAAAUCAACCAGCUUAACUGGUUGAAUUCUGCGAGGACGGUCAGACUUGGGACCGGGAGAGGUGUGGGGUACGCUCAGGGUAGGGGUAAAAUCCUGUCAUCCUGAGCGGACCACCUGUUGCGAAGGCGCCACACUAGAACGGAUCCGACGGUCAGGGACGAAGCCUAGGGGCACGAACCGGAUUAGAUACCCGGGUAGUCCUAGGUGUAAACGCUGUGGACUUGAUGUUGGGGGUGCUCCGAGCACUCUCAGUGUCGAAGCGAAGGUGAUAAGUCCACUGCCUGGGAAGUACGGUCGCAAGGCUGAAACUUAAAGGAAUUGGCGGGGGAGCACCGCAACCUGAGGAUUGUGCGGUUUAAUUGGAGUCAACGCCGGA